UCCGGCGAACAUACCUGGAUGGCCACACCCGUUCCCAUCCCGAACACGGCCGUUAAGCAUCCAGGGCCGAUGGUAGUGCUAACCAGCGCGAGAGUAGGUUAUCGCCGGAU
RNAcentral lists this ribosomal RNA (110 nucleotides) under Planctomycetaceae bacterium SCGC AG-212-D15. The record is from RNAcentral. Lineage: Bacteria; Pseudomonadati; Planctomycetota; Planctomycetia; Planctomycetales; Planctomycetaceae.